RNAcentral lists this ribosomal RNA (429 nucleotides) under Pseudomonadota bacterium. RNAcentral's name for it is "Proteobacteria bacterium partial 16S ribosomal RNA". It matches the Rfam family "Bacterial small subunit ribosomal RNA", at positions 355 to 776 of the family's 1533-position model. Lineage: Bacteria; Pseudomonadati; Pseudomonadota. The record is from RNAcentral.
UGGGGAAUAUUGGACAAUGGGCGAAAGCCUGAUCCAGCCAUGCCGCGUGUGUGAAGAAGGUCUUCGGAUUGUAAAGCACUUUAAGUUGGGAGGAAGGGCAGUAAGCGAAUACCUUGCUGUUUUGACGUUACCGACAGAAUAAGCACCGGCUAACUCUGUGCCAGCAGCCGCGGUAAUACAGAGGGUGCAAGCGUUAAUCGGAAUUACUGGGCGUAAAGGGCGCGUAGGUGGUUCGUUAAGUUGAAUGUGAAAGCCCCGGGCUCAACCUGGGAACUGCAUCCAAAACUGGCGAGCUAGAGUAGGGCAGAGGGUGGUGGAAUUUCCUGUGUAGCGGUGAAAUGCGUAGAUAUAGGAAGGAACACCAGUGGCGAAGGCGACCACCUGGGCUCAUACUGACACUGAGGUGCGAAAGCGUGGGGAGCAAACAGG